AUUGAACGCUGGCGGCAUGCCUUACACAUGCAAGUCGAACGGUAACGGGCCUUCGGGUGCCGACGAGUGGCGAACGGGUGAGUAAUACAUCGGAACGUGCCCGAUCGUGGGGGAUAACGAGGCGAAAGCUUUGCUAAUACCGCAUACGAUCUACGGAUGAAAGCAGGGGACCGCAAGGCCUUGCGCGGACGGAGCGGCCGAUGGCAGAUUAGGUAGUUGGUGGGAUAAAAGCUUACCAAGCCGACGAUCUGUAGCUGGUCUGAGAGGAUGAUCAGCCACACUGGGACUGAGACACGGCCCAGACUCCUACGGGAGGCUGCAGUGGGGAAUUUUGGACAAUGGGCGCAAGCCUGAUCCAGCCAUGCCGCGUGCAGGAUGAAGGCCUUCGGGUUGUAAACUGCUUUUGUACGGAACGAAAAGCCUUCUUUUAAUACAGGAGGGUCAUGACGGUACCGUAAGAAUAAGCACCGGCUAACUACGUG
This 482-nucleotide ribosomal RNA is filed under the name uncultured bacterium. RNAcentral's name for it is "partial 16S ribosomal RNA". It matches the Rfam family "Bacterial small subunit ribosomal RNA", at positions 30 to 507 of the family's 1533-position model. The record is from RNAcentral.